RNAcentral lists this ribosomal RNA (1828 nucleotides) under Salmonella enterica subsp. enterica serovar Bovismorbificans. RNAcentral describes it as "partial 23S ribosomal RNA". It matches the Rfam family "Bacterial large subunit ribosomal RNA", at positions 1177 to 2900 of the family's 2925-position model. Lineage: Bacteria; Pseudomonadati; Pseudomonadota; Gammaproteobacteria; Enterobacterales; Enterobacteriaceae. The record is from RNAcentral.
GGGGCUAAACCAUGCACCGAAGCUGCGGCAGCGAACGUAUCACUUAAAGCGAUUCAGCGGAUGACGAUUGACGGAGCGAAGCGACGUCAAAGCGUAUACAAAGUCGAGUCGGUUUAAGGAUACGUUCGUUGGGUAGGGGAGCGUUCUGUAAGCCUGCGAAGGUGGCCUGUGAGGGUUGCUGGAGGUAUCAGAAGUGCGAAUGCUGACAUAAGUAACGAUAAAGCGGGUGAAAAGCCCGCUCGCCGGAAGACCAAGGGUUCCUGUCCAACGUUAAUCGGGGCAGGGUGAGUCGACCCCUAAGGCGAGGCCGAAAGGCGUAGUCGAUGGGAAACGGGUUAAUAUUCCCGUACUUGGUGUUACUGCGAAGGGGGGACGGAGAAGGCUAUGUUGGCCGGGCGACGGUUGUCCCGGUUUAAGCGUGUAGGUGUGUGUUCCAGGUAAAUCCGGUUCACUUUAACACUGAGGCGUGAUGACGAGGCACUACGGUGCUGAAGCAACAAAUGCCCUGCUUCCAGGAAAAGCCUCUAAGCAUCAGGUAACACGAAAUCGUACCCCAAACCGACACAGGUGGUCAGGUAGAGAAUACCAAGGCGCUUGAGAGAACUCGGGUGAAGGAACUAGGCAAAAUGGUGCCGUAACUUCGGGAGAAGGCACGCUGACACGUAGGUGAAGUGAUUUACUCAUGGAGCUGAAGUCAGUCGAAGAUACCAGCUGGCUGCAACUGUUUAUUAAAAACACAGCACUGUGCAAACACGAAAGUGGACGUAUACGGUGUGACGCCUGCCCGGUGCCGGAAGGUUAAUUGAUGGGGUCAGCGCAAGCGAAGCUCCUGAUCGAAGCCCCGGUAAACGGCGGCCGUAACUAUAACGGUCCUAAGGUAGCGAAAUUCCUUGUCGGGUAAGUUCCGACCUGCACGAAUGGCGUAAUGAUGGCCAGGCUGUCUCCACCCGAGACUCAGUGAAAUUGAACUCGCUGUGAAGAUGCAGUGUACCCGCGGCAAGACGGAAAGACCCCGUGAACCUUUACUAUAGCUUGACACUGAACAUUGAGCCUUGAUGUGUAGGAUAGGUGGGAGGCUUUGAAGUGUGGACGCCAGUCUGCAUGGAGCCGACCUUGAAAUACCACCCUUUAAUGUUUGAUGUUCUAACGUGGACCCGUUACCCGGGUUGCGGACAGUGUCUGGUGGGUAGUUUGACUGGGGCGGUCUCCUCCUAAAGAGUAACGGAGGAGCACGAAGGUUGGCUAAUCCUGGUCGGACAUCAGGAGGUUAGUGCAAUGGCAUAAGCCAGCUUGACUGCGAGCGUGACGGCGCGAGCAGGUGCGAAAGCAGGUCAUAGUGAUCCGGUGGUUCUGAAUGGAAGGGCCAUCGCUCAACGGAUAAAAGGUACUCCGGGGAUAACAGGCUGAUACCGCCCAAGAGUUCAUAUCGACGGCGGUGUUUGGCACCUCGAUGUCGGCUCAUCACAUCCUGGGGCUGAAGUAGGUCCCAAGGGUAUGGCUGUUCGCCAUUUAAAGUGGUACGCGAGCUGGGUUUAGAACGUCGUGAGACAGUUCGGUCCCUAUCUGCCGUGGGCGCUGGAGAACUGAGGGGGGCUGCUCCUAGUACGAGAGGACCGGAGUGGACGCAUCACUGGUGUUCGGGUUGUCAUGCCAAUGGCACUGCCCGGUAGCUAAAUGCGGAAGAGAUAAGUGCUGAAAGCAUCUAAGCACGAAACUUGCCCCGAGAUGAGUUCUCCCUGAGACUUAGAGUCUCCUGAAGGAACGUUGAAGACGACGACGUUGAUAGGCCGGGUGUGUAAGCGCAGCGAUGCGUUGAGCCUGUCCUUUA